Molecule: ribosomal RNA, 788 nt
Filed under: uncultured bacterium
Lineage: Bacteria
Description: bacterial SSU rRNA
Rfam family: Bacterial small subunit ribosomal RNA
Source: RNAcentral
AGUCGAGCGAAGCGAUUUAAGUGAAGUUUUCGGAUGGAUCUUAAAUUGACUGAGCGGCGGACGGGUGAGUAACGCGUGGAUAACCUGCCUCACACAGGGGGAUAACAGUUAGAAAUGACUGCUAAUACCGCAUAAGCGCACGGUACCGCAUGGUACAGUGUGAAAAACUCCGGUGGUGUGAGAUGGAUCCGCGUCUGAUUAGGUAGUUGGUGAGGUAACGGCCCACCAAGCCGACGAUCAGUAGCCGACCUGAGAGGGUGACCGGCCACAUUGGGACUGAGACACGGCCCAAACUCCUACGGGAGGCAGCAGUGGGGAAUAUUGCACAAUGGGCGAAAGCCUGAUGCAGCAACGCCGCGUGAGUGAAGAAGUAUCUCGGUAUGUAAAGCUCUAUCAGCAGGGAAGAAAAUGACGGUACCUGACUAAGAAGCCCCGGCUAACUACGUGCCAGCAGCCGCGGUAAUACGUAGGGGGCAAGCGUUAUCCGGAUUUACUGGGUGUAAAGGGAGCGCAGACGGCACUGCAAGUCUGAAGUGAAAGCCCGGGGCUCAACCCCGGGACUGCUUUGGAAACUGUAGAGCUAGAGUGCUGGAGAGGCAAGCGGAAUUCCUAGUGUAGCGGUGAAAUGCGUAGAUAUUAGGAAGAACACCAGUGGCGAAGGCGGCUUGCUGGACAGUAACUGACGUUCAGGCUCGAAAGCGUGGGGAGCAAACAGGAUUAGAUACCCUGGUAGUCCACGCCGUANACGAUGAAUACUAGGUNUUGGUGGGCAAAGCCCAUCGGUGCCG